GGAGGAAUGGGACCAGUACAGAGGAUGAAGAGGAAAACGGAAGGAGAUAUGAAAAGAGUUUGUUUUGAUGGCAGCAAGGACAGUGACCAUCAAACCAUGAACUGUAGUAACCUGAGCACAAGGAAAGAAAGAGAGAAAGGAAAGAAAAUGAGGAAAAUAAAAAGGACAAGGGAGGAAAGUAGGUUUUUAAAAAGGAAAAGAAAGGAGGAGUCUUCCCAGGAUGGGAGCAGCAAUGGGAGGAAUUUUUUUUUUCAACAGGCACAGGAAGCGGCGUGAAUGUUUAUUUUUGUGGGGACCAGUUUGGAGUUAUAGACCUUUGGAAGGCUUCCCACUUUCUGCCAUGCCUCCAAACUGCUGUUUGAGAGUCCGGACCUGGUUCCUGGGUUCAGGUAUGCCGCCGAGAGGAGACCCUGGGAUAGAUACAGGACAUGCUGGAGAGAUCAUGUCUCUCAGCUGGCUCAGGAACCCCUCAGUGUCCCCUUGGAGAGCUGGAGGAUCUGGCUGGAGGGGUCUGAGGGUCUCUGCUUACACUGCUGCCAUGUGACUGUGAUAUGAGCUGAUGGUUGUCUAUAAUUCUAAAAGAGACUAUUAUUCUGUAGCACGUACCACUUUCUGCCAGGAACAUUUCUGAUGCUGAAGAUUUACAAGGUUAUACGGUGUAUUCUGAUGGACUGACUGUCACACUGUUAGAUGGGUAAAUGUAAAUUUAACUGCAGAAUUUGAAAUCUAUGAUAGGUUGAUGUUAAAGUUAAUGAUUUUGUAUUUGUAUUCACAUGCAUUCCUGUAAAGACUGCACAUAAUAAAUAUCUGGGACUGCCAUAAGAAUCAGCCAAGGAUGACCUUUCAAUCGUAUAAGCCAGGUGAAGGCAACACUAAAAUGUCAAACAACACUUUAUGCAUACACUGGGAGGGAUAUAUAAUCGCACUAAAGAUUAAAAAAACAAACUCAAACGCUCCUGCAGUGAGGUUAGACUGCACAGCUGCUUAUUGACAUAUUAUCUAGGUCAUCCAAACAGAAGGAUAGAUAAAAAAAGGCUGAAUGGUGAACUAAAAUACACAAAACUGUGUAUUCAAGGCGAACUUUCUACAUCGUCUACACAGCUUCCAGAAACAGCAUCAACAGCUUUCCUUUGGAUUUAACCUCAUAACGUGAUGAGCAUGAACAAUUUUAGACUUCAAAUUAGGUCAUGUGUAUAUGUAAUACUGUGCUCCUAUUAUUAACACUCACGACAGCAAUGCUGGUGUCUUUUCACCUCGUUAGCCUCUGUGCGUGUGUUAUCAUACACAGAUAAAAUGCAAUCAUCACUCCUACAGCAGCAGGAGUAACCACAAA
Long non-coding RNA from Oreochromis niloticus (Nile tilapia), 1333 nucleotides. RefSeq lists it as uncharacterized. The transcript is spliced from 2 exons. The record is from RefSeq and is a predicted model, not a curated record. Lineage: Eukaryota; Metazoa; Chordata; Actinopteri; Cichliformes; Cichlidae.